UUUCCGUAGGUGAACCUGCGGAAGGAUCAUUAAAGAGUAAGGGUCUUCGGGCCCGAUCUCCAACCCUUUGUUUAACUACCAUGUUGCUUUGGCGGGCCCGUCUCACGACCGCCGGAAGUUUGGCUUCGACCAAACUACUGGCCCGUGCCCGUCAGUGGCCCCUUCAAAUUCUUGAUCAAGUAUGAUGUCUUAGUUAAAAACUUAAUAGUUAAAACUUUCAACAACGGAUCUCUUGGUUCUG
RNAcentral lists this unclassified non-coding RNA (241 nucleotides) under plant metagenome. RNAcentral's name for it is "partial contains small subunit ribosomal RNA, internal transcribed spacer 1, and 5.8S ribosomal RNA". The record is from RNAcentral.